CCUUGUACACACCGCCCGUCACACCACGAAAGCGAGCAACACCCGAAGCCGGUGGCCUAACCGCAAGGAGGGAGCCGUCGAAGGUGGGGCCCGUGAUUGGGGUG
This 104-nucleotide ribosomal RNA is filed under the name uncultured bacterium. RNAcentral's name for it is "partial 16S ribosomal RNA". It matches the Rfam family "Bacterial small subunit ribosomal RNA", at positions 1379 to 1482 of the family's 1533-position model. The record is from RNAcentral.